RNAcentral lists this long non-coding RNA (419 nucleotides) under Elaeis guineensis (African oil palm). RNAcentral's name for it is "long non-coding RNA (EGUI_LNC051767)". The record is from RNAcentral. Lineage: Eukaryota; Viridiplantae; Streptophyta; Magnoliopsida; Arecales; Arecaceae.
AGCAUAGAGCUUCGAGGGAUUUCUUAGGAUCUGGUUGGGGUUUUUUCUAGAGCAUAAGGGUUUCUGUGUGAGUUUUGGUGGUGUAAGUGGUAGAGGCCCGAGAUGGUUGAGGUGGUGCUGGUGCUAGAGUGGGCAGUGGUGGUGGUAUUGGAGGUCGGAAGAAGGGUACAGAGAUUAGAGGGUUUUUUAAGAUUCAAUUGGGGUUUUUUCUCGAGCAUACAGAUUUUUGUGCGAGUUGUGGUAAGGGCACCGAUGGGGGCCUCACGGCAUCCGACAAAGGUGGCGAGGAGACGAAGGGUGAUGGGGAGGCCAAUUGCAGGAGAGAGAGAGAGGUGGAGGCUAAGCAUUGUUUGGGUUAUAAGCUAGUGUUACGUAAUAUUGCAUGCAUACCUGCUCGUGGAUUGCUAACAAAUGCCAUG